This is a long non-coding RNA of Macadamia integrifolia, 337 nucleotides long. RefSeq lists it as uncharacterized. Lineage: Eukaryota; Viridiplantae; Streptophyta; Magnoliopsida; Proteales; Proteaceae. The transcript has 3 exons. The record is from RefSeq and is a predicted model, not a curated record.
GACAGUAAGGACCGUAUACCUCCACGACCAGAGUAAUCUCUUUCAGUGGUUUAACUUCAAGAGGAAGGGAAAAUACUCUCUCUCUCUCUCUCUAAUUGCCCUCCUCUCUGGCCCCCUGCUGCGAAGGAGCUCAUCCUCGAAUCGUUCGGUGUUUUCAGAUAUUUUUGUGUUCAAGAAUCGCAAGAUGUCGAAAGCAGGCGCAUUGGAUCUGGCAUCUGGUGUUGGUGGAAAUAUUGAGAAGAAAGAAGUUCUUUCUGCUGUUGAUCAGUAUGAGAAGUAUCAUGCCUCUUUUGGAGGCGACGAGGAACAGAGAAAAGCUAACUACACUGAUAUGGUG